Molecule: transfer RNA, 74 nt
Filed under: Ixodes scapularis (black-legged tick)
Lineage: Eukaryota; Metazoa; Arthropoda; Arachnida; Ixodida; Ixodidae
Rfam family: tRNA
About the family: Transfer RNA (tRNA) molecules are approximately 80 nucleotides in length. Their secondary structure includes four short double-helical elements and three loops (D, anti-codon, and T loops). Further hydrogen bonds mediate the characteristic L-shaped molecular structure. tRNAs have two regions of fundamental functional importance: the anti-codon, which is responsible for specific mRNA codon recognition, and the 3' end, to which the tRNAs corresponding amino acid is attached (by aminoacyl-tRNA synthetases). tRNAs cope with the degeneracy of the genetic code in two manners: having more than one tRNA (with a specific anti-codon) for a particular amino acid; and 'wobble' base-pairing, i.e. permitting non-standard base-pairing at the 3rd anti-codon position.
Source: Rfam by way of RNAcentral
CCCUGGUUAGUUCACUUGGCAGUGCGCUCCAAUGGAAAUGGAGAGGUUUCCGGGUUCGAUUCCCGGACCAGGCG